GAACAUAUUGCUUAGAGGUCAGAGUGCUUGGAUGGCCAAGAGACGCGGGUUUAAUUCCUGCUACGUUCG
This 69-nucleotide transfer RNA is filed under the name Heliconius melpomene (postman butterfly). RNAcentral's name for it is "tRNA HMEL002738". It matches the Rfam family "tRNA". From Rfam's summary of the family: Transfer RNA (tRNA) molecules are approximately 80 nucleotides in length. The record is from RNAcentral. Lineage: Eukaryota; Metazoa; Arthropoda; Insecta; Lepidoptera; Nymphalidae.